CCCCCCUUCUGUAAAUGACAACGCAUUAGAUUGUGGGCUCUUCCUUUGAAGCCUACUGAGGUUUUAUCGCCAUCUUCGAGGGACUUUCGAUUUAACACCGUUACUUUGUGGCCGCUGUUUGUGAUUUUUAAAGAUGGCGACAAAUAUUGCGUCUCAUGACGUCAGGAACAUCGUCCACAUCCCCGAGGAAGGGUCGAGCGUUGACGUUGAGAUGUCGGACACCGAUGGAAUGGAGGUGGAUGACAACGUUCCACGUGACGGUGAUAUACCCAGGUUUUCCCUCCUAAAAGAGUUUUCCUGUACUGUUGAGGGUGUAAAGGGUGACGAGGUGCGUCCAGACAUCAGGUCGGUGUUGGUACUGAAAUCAGGUGUCAUAUUGGCCGCGGAUUGGGCCAAUUGCUGUCUGAAGGCUUUCAGCGAAGAAGGAACUUUUCUAGGGGAUCAUUACUUCGAUAAAAUCGGCAAAGACGCUGGUCGGAUACAAGGAAUUUGCCGUAAGGACGAAGACACGGUCCUUGUCACGCUGCCCUCUUUGAGAAAGAUCGCCACGAUCACUGUUAAGUUACGGGGAGGCAUAGUGAAGUUUUUGACAGUAAUGCAUACGACCAAAAGGGAGAUAUUUCGGCAUCGCGCAUCUAUCUGAGGUCAAACAAAUCCUGGCCGGGACAACAGAUACCGUGGACAUUUUAGGCUACAAUUGUUGUUGCAUUGCAUCGUUCAAAGACAGGUUUGAGAACCCUUAUAACAUGGCGACCGAGUCCCCCAGCUCGGUGGUAGUGUCCGACACGCGACGGAACUGUUUGUUCCGUAUACAUGCAGACCAACGAGUAAAGAGAAUACCUGUGGCUGAUCCGACACUUCGGCUCAGAGGGGUCACCGUGGAUGGCAAUGGAAAUGUAUUUUUCUGCGGACUGAAGAACGAAGGAAUCGGAUGGGUGAACAGCCUUGAUGUGAGCAUGGGCGACGUGAUGCCUGACGGGUCAAGUCUCCGGGAUGGUGUGGGGAUCUCCUUCCAGAAGACUGUCCACGGCCGACGGUUGGCUGUGUCGGUCAGCAAGGGCAGCGUGAUGGUCUACAGGGUCACCUAUGAGGCUUAGAGACAGAAUAAACACCUAAACACUGCCAUGUACUCAUUAAAAAUAGAUGUUCAUUUGAA
Molecule: unclassified non-coding RNA, 1156 nt
Filed under: Haliotis rubra (blacklip abalone)
Lineage: Eukaryota; Metazoa; Mollusca; Gastropoda; Lepetellida; Haliotidae
Description: uncharacterized LOC124285226, transcript variant X1
Source: RNAcentral